CUUCUGUUUCUUUUGUGCUGGACCCUUAGGAGGAGCUUUAUAUUCCUUCUUCUUUUUCUUCUCCUUAUCCUUAGAAGUGCUUGCCAAGUGAGCAAUUUCAGUUUUAUCUUACUUCAACCUUUUUUCCUCUUGCACACAAUAUGAAAUGAGCUCAUUGAAAGACCAUUUCUCCUUCUGGCGGUUAUAACUGACCUUAAAUUGAUUGAGCUGUGUAGGAAUCGAGAUCAAUACCAAAUGUACAAGCAACUCAUUAGACAACUCAAGCUUUAACCCUUUAAGUUUUGAAGCAAUAUGAGACAUCUCCAUGAUGUACUCCAUAAUGUUCUCCUUGCCUUUAUACUUCCUUGAAAUCAAACUUUACAAAAGCGUGCUUGUUUCAGCCUCAUCAGUUUUCGCGAAACAUUUCUCAAUUUUGACAAGGAACUCGUUAACAUUAGUUAUCCCUUCGGAUACUACACUUCUAAAGGCUUCCAAAAUGUCACGCUUAAUGAUCAUUAGACUCAUGCUAUUUGAGCGAUUCCACUUCUCAAAGUUCCUCUUUUCAUUAGGAGAACUUUCUUCCGUAAGAGGAGUGGGUUCCUCAAUCCGAAGUACAAGGUCAAGAUCUAUGCAGCCAAGAACAAUCAAUAUGUUCUCCUUC
This 640-nucleotide long non-coding RNA is filed under the name Olea europaea subsp. europaea. The record is from RNAcentral. Lineage: Eukaryota; Viridiplantae; Streptophyta; Magnoliopsida; Lamiales; Oleaceae.